Molecule: ribosomal RNA, 253 nt
Filed under: uncultured bacterium
Lineage: Bacteria
Description: partial 16S ribosomal RNA
Rfam family: Bacterial small subunit ribosomal RNA
Source: RNAcentral
UACGUAGGGUGCAAGCGUUGUCCGGAAUUAUUGGGCGUAAAGAGCUCGUAGGCGGUUUGUCGCGUCUGCUGUGAAAACCCGAGGCUCAACCUCGGGCCUGCAGUGGGUACGGGCAGACUAGAGUGCGGUAGGGGAGAAUGGAAUUCCUGGUGUAGCGGUGAAAUGCGCAGAUAUCAGGAGGAACACCGGUGGCGAAGGCGGUUCUCUGGGCCUUACCUGACGCUGAGGAGCGAAAGCAUGGGGAGCAAACAGG